AGCGAACGCUGGCGGCAGGCCUAACACAUGCAAGUCGAACGACCUCUUCGGAUUUCGUGGCGGACGGGUGAGUAAUACGUGAGAACGUGCUUUUUGGUUCGGACUAACUCUGGGAAACUUGUGCUCAUACCGAAUGUGCCCUUAGUGGGACAGAUUUAUUGCCAUUAGAGGGGCGCGAACCGGAUUAGUUAGUUUGUAGGGUAACGGCGCACCAAGGCGACAAUCUGUAGCUGGUCUGAGAGGAUGACCAGCCACACCGGGACUGAGCCACGGCCCGGACUCCUAGGGGAGGCAGCAGUGGGUAAUCCAGCGAAAUAGGGUAAAGGAUGACGCAGCCAUGCCGCGUAAAUGAUGAAGUUCUUAGAGUUAUAAAAUUCUUUCACCGGUGACGAUAAUGACGGUACCCGAAGAAGAAGCCCCGGCUAACUUCGUG
RNAcentral lists this ribosomal RNA (433 nucleotides) under uncultured bacterium. RNAcentral's name for it is "partial 16S ribosomal RNA". It matches the Rfam family "Bacterial small subunit ribosomal RNA", at positions 29 to 507 of the family's 1533-position model. The record is from RNAcentral.